Long non-coding RNA from Felis catus (domestic cat), 1277 nucleotides. RefSeq lists it as uncharacterized. The record is from RefSeq and is a predicted model, not a curated record. The transcript is spliced from 3 exons. NCBI's taxonomy places the organism in Eukaryota, Metazoa, Chordata, Mammalia, Carnivora, Felidae.
ACCGUGUAGUUAAAAUGACAGAAAACCCAACUCCAGUAACUGCAGUCACAAAUGGGAUGUAUUUAUCUCCAAACAACUAGAAUGUCAAGAGGUAGCAGAGACUGCAAGAACAGUUUGAUCAGGGUGUGGCCUCCUCUGCCCCUCCUUGUUUAUUAGGCACGUGGUUGGGUUGGCUCCUCUCAAGGUGGAAAGAUGGCAUCAGGUACACAUGCUUCUUCACCCCCAUCCAAGAAGAAAGAAUGUCAGCACAUAACCACUGAAACAAGUCCAGGCUUCCUCUGAUGGAACCAGUCAUUAUUACACGAGUAUCAACAACAAACGUUCAUUGAGCACUAAGCAGGUGCCAGACCCUCUUCAAACUCAGUUUGCUUUUGUUGAAUUGACUCUGGUAAUCCUUAUAAGAAGGGCAAUGGUACUACCCUGAUUUGUUUGUUCAACUGAAGCCAACACCGGAAGCUCAGGAAAGGUACAGAUGCCAACAGAGACCAAGUCGAGAAGCAUGCAGGUUUCUGGAAAUUUGUUCCCAAACGUGUGCCCAGCCUUCCUCCUGCACGGUAUACUGGCCUCUUAGGUCAAAUCUGGCCUCUUUAAUUCUGAUGCUUUUCUGACAUUUAUGUGGAAGCCUCUUAGCUUGUUCUGACUUGUGUGGAGCUACCUUCCCUCUUACUCCUGAUUCACAGGAAGAAAGGAGCCAUCAGAGACAGCCCGGCUCCCGGAGGCUCCGCGCCACGCUCCCUUUUGCCCGCCCGACUUCUGAGCGGAGCGCUCCGGAGGGAGGAGAACCGGCGAAUCCUCGCGGGCUCCGGGCGCUCGCGGACCGAGCCCGCCCCCACCCGCGCCCGGCCCCGUCACGUUGGCUGCAGAGCGCAUCCCGGCUGCGCCCCGGCGGGGAGGCGCCGAGGGUAGCUGAGGGGAGCGGGUCACGUGAGAGGAGGAGUCUGACCUACUUUCGCCGGCAGCCGGCGCAUGCGUAGUUCCGGGCUGCACGCCGGCCGGGAGGCUCACGUGGAGUCGCACGUGCAGGGUGCUCCCGUCCGGGGCCCGGGGCGGGGCGCGCGCUGGGCGGGGCGCGCGCAGGGAGGCGGGCUGGGGUUGCGGGACCCGUCGGCGGGUCUGGUCGACGGGCUGGAGCCAUCGGCGAGCGUGGGGUUCCCGCCACCCUGGGCCGGGUACCCGCAAUUUUGGAGAGCUGCUUCGGCGCCCUUGGGGGGCUUCCCACGAAUUCAUCGAAUUCAGUAUUUCUGAACGCAAAAAUUAAAACAGAGUUCCUGCACAUA